AAAAAUAGCGAAAACAACAAAAAUAGCACUUAUGACUUCGAACCAAAUGUAAAAAACGGUGCUUCAAUUUUAAGCAGUCCAGAAGAAAUAAAAACUUACAUAAAAAAUAUAUUCACAAAAAGUAAAUAUUGCGAUGUGAAAUUUUAUUUUUAUACAUGUGUUUAUAUUGUGUAUAUAAUUGGAAAAAUAAUGAAACAAGUUGAUCACUAUAGUAGCAAUAAAAACAAAAAAACUAACGAUAAAACUUACACAUAUGAUCAUCUACUAUUUAUAUCUUAUGACCUUUCUUAUUUACUUUAUAAUGAUUAUAUAUUACAAGAAAAUAAAACUAAAAAAAAUAAUAUUCUUAUAAAAGAUUUACAAAUACGUCAAAAUAGUGCCAUGUCUUCUUUUAUAUAUUUACCGUCAUUCCAAAAUAUAAAAGAAAUGGAGCUAACAAAAUUAUAUAAUUUUGAAAAAGAAAUAGUGUCAAAUUGUUACUCAAACAAGUUGUCCAUUAUUAAUUAUGUUAAUAAAAUUAAUGGAAAAAAAAAUAAACAUUUUAACAAAUUAUCAACGGAGUACCAAAGUGAUAUAUCCGUUUUAGUUCUUUACUUAAAAAUGUUAUGUAAAAAAAUAGCGUAUUAUGUCUUUACCUGCAUUUACGAGAAACACGAGGCGUUAAUCAGAAAACGAAUUAACAUCAUGCAAAAUAAUUUUCAAACGAAAUUUGAAAAAUUAAAUGACGAAUUACAACUAUCAGAUAAAUCAUAUGAUAUUGUUACAAAAAGAAAAAUAGAACUAAAAAUAUUUUUUACUUUUUAUGUUGUUGGUAUUAAACAUUUGUUAGCUAAUCACUUAUAUUCCUUUUAUGAAAAUACAUAUAACAACUUAAUUUUUUUCCUUUACCUUUUGAAUUUACUACCUGCGGAUUCCACUUUACAACAACACCCUUCACAGCAACAGGGUACUUUAAAUGAAAAUAAUAAUCUUACAAGCGAGCGAAAAAUUUGUUACUUAAAAAUUGACUACCGUGAUAUGUCCUCCGAAUAUGACCUCAAUGACAUUAUAAAAAAAAUAAGAAACACGUACAGUGUCGAUGACGACAAAAAGGAUCUUGAUAUAAAAGAAGACAAUAUGAAUAAUAUGAAAAAAGGCGUGCUUUAUAUGGCUUAUUAUGAAGAUAAUACCUUUUUUGUUAAUAAAUUAGAAAAAAAAAUAAGUAAAUAUAUGUCAAAGUUGUAUACUUAUAUGGAAAAACUUUUGGACGUGAAAAAAAAAGAAACAAUCAAACUAAUUUCAAAUGAUAUGAAAUUACAUAGAAAGUAUUAUGAAUGUAAAAACGAAUGAAUGACAAAAAGAGGAUAAGCUGUGAUCUAUGCAUUAAAAAAAAAAAAAAAAUAAAAAAAAAAAAAAAAAAAUAGUACGUAUAUAG
Piliocolobus tephrosceles (Ugandan red Colobus) is the source of this 1414-nucleotide long non-coding RNA. Lineage: Eukaryota; Metazoa; Chordata; Mammalia; Primates; Cercopithecidae. The record is from Ensembl.